RNAcentral lists this ribosomal RNA (463 nucleotides) under uncultured bacterium. RNAcentral's name for it is "partial 16S ribosomal RNA". It matches the Rfam family "Bacterial small subunit ribosomal RNA", at positions 28 to 507 of the family's 1533-position model. The record is from RNAcentral.
GAUGAACGCUGACAGAAUGCUUAACACAUGCAAGUCGAUGGGGAAGUGGUGCUUGCACCAUGGCAACCAUGGCGGACGGGUGAGUAACGCGUAAGGGACUUACCUGCAGGACUGGGAUAACAGGGGGAAACUCCUGACAAGACCGGAUAAUGUCAUGGAGCUGCAUGGCUUUAUGAUGAAAGGAGACGCCUGCGGAGAGCCUUGCGUCCUAUUAGCUAGUUGGUGAGGUAAUGGCUCACCAAGGCGAAGAUAGGUAGCCGGCCUGAGAGGGUGGACGGCCACAAGGGGACUGAGAUGCGGCCCUUACUCCUACGGGGGGCAGCAGUGGGGAAUAGUGGACAAUGGGGGCGACACUGAUCCAGCAAUUCUGUGUGCACGAAGAAGGUUUUCGGAUUGUAAAGUGCUUUCAGCAGGGAAGAAGUAAGUGACGGUACCUGCAGAAGAAGCGACGGCUAAAUACGUG